UCAAAUUAUUUUAGCCUACUAUAAUUUCCAUAACAAAGCCCACUCUCCCUUUACCAAAAUAAAGAACCAAUUUUUAGUUAAUUUAAAGGCCCAACAUCUAAAAAGGGAUAAGCCCAUUUCAUUAAUUUAGUCCAUAUACUCCUCUUCCACCACACGUAUCACUACUCCUAAUCACUAUUCACCUUCUCCCCUAAUUUCCCAAAAUGCACAACCUCUCUCUCUCUCCUCUCUCUCGUCGCCGAUCCGCCGCCUUGCUAGCGGCGGCCGCUCCGGCGACGCUCCUCUCUUCGCUCAGCCUCGCGCCGUCGUGCCGCCACCGCCUCUGCGGAUCCGCCGUCGUUGCGGGUCCGUCUCAACCGCCGUCGCCAAGAACCUCCCCCUUCCAGCAGCCGACGCCGAGAACCUCCCCUUCCUAGCCGCCGACGCCGAGAACCUCCCCUUCCCAGCCGCCGACGCCGAGAACAUCCUCUUCCCAGCCGCCGACGCCGAGAACCUUCCCUUCCCAGCCGCCGACGCCGAGAACCUCCUCUUCCCAGCCGCCGACGCCGAGAACCGUCAGAUCUUUAAGGAAUGAAAGCAGUGGCUUUCGGAGCGUUGGUCGUCGAUUGUCGGCGACGGAGUGCCGAAAUCAGCCGCUGGAAAUCUUUAUAACUUGUAUUCUUGAGAUAAGCUUCUAACUCGUGCUUACUAUAGUUGUAGGAUUUAUUUGUUUGCUUUACGAAAUGAAUGAUGUUGAAAAUCUGCACAAGUACCAGAAGGCUUGGUGGUGAAACAUGUUGAUAUUGUAUGAGUUGUUGUGGAAUAAAGUCCUUAUUUGGUGACUUGGGGCAUUUGUCUUACUGUUAUGGAUGGCUUGGUGGUGGGAGACGAUGUUAAACUUGUGUAUUGGUUGAUGUUACUUGGACAGAUUCUACUUUCAAAUUAUAUAUGCAUAUGUUUGUACAUAUAUGAAUAUGAAAGAAAAGGGAGGCUUGGGGUUUACCUUACAUAUAUGAAUAUGAAAGAAAAGGGAGGCUUGGGGUUUACCUUUUUGAUAUGGGAACAAAGUGUCGUUGGAUUGUAAUUUGCCGUGCUUGACCCUACAAUUUUGUGCAAAUAUCCCUUCUUGGACUUCUCUAUCCUACGUUGGGUUGGCGUGUGCAGAAAAAAAUUGGUGUGCGUAAAGAAGUUAGGAUUUGUGUGGGUGAGUGACAAAAAGAUUUAUAUAUAUAUGUACAUAUACAUAAAACAUGCAAGUGAGACUUAUCUUGUUGUCACGGAUAUGAUUUCAUCAUGCACUCAUUAAAUGCAUUUAAUGCAGCAUUAAAUGCUGCUGUCGAAAAAAAAAUCUGAUCGAGUCUAUCUUCUCCUUUCCUUAUGAUUAAUCUCUUUUAUUAUAUUAUUAGUAUAUUUAUUGUUUAAUUUGGUGCAGGAAGAAACUCGGUUCAAGCUCGUGGCUGUCCGCGUUAAAGUACCCGAUUUUCUUAGAACGCAUGAUGUAUAGAUUAAUUUUUGUUUGACUUUUGUUGAAUGUAUCGGACAUUAAAAUUUUGAUUUUUGGAUCUUAUUUAUUUAUUUAAAAUUUAUUAUACUCA
Molecule: long non-coding RNA, 1574 nt
Organism: Salvia splendens (bonfire salvia)
Lineage: Eukaryota; Viridiplantae; Streptophyta; Magnoliopsida; Lamiales; Lamiaceae
Exons: 2
Source: RefSeq, a predicted model, not a curated record